UUUUGAAUUGUUUAAUAAUUUUAUAAAUUUCAUUCUGUAAGCUAUAGCAAAAAUUAGGUCAUUCUGUGUGGGCACCGUUACUUGUUAACUUCCAAGUGGAAAGUCGACACGUGAGAUUCCAAGUGGUAGCGAUAUUCACACGUGGCAGUCGGAGUUAUGGGACCCAUAUAAUCGCCACAGAAAGUAACGAAUUGAUGACGUGGAAAUGGAUGGCUGGGUGGGUGUGGGAAAAAAGCUUUACGUUUU
This 246-nucleotide long non-coding RNA is filed under the name Brassica napus (rape). RNAcentral describes it as "long non-coding RNA (BNAP_LNC026209)". Lineage: Eukaryota; Viridiplantae; Streptophyta; Magnoliopsida; Brassicales; Brassicaceae. The record is from RNAcentral.